UUCCGACAUCGUGAAGAUCAGCUGCCGAUGGAAAAGACCUCGUCAGGAUCACAUAACAAGGAAAAUUUUCUAAGGGAAAGAGAAGGCGACAGGAACCUUACCUCCACCAUGGUCGGGUAGAACCGCGACAGCAUCUCGGUCACCUGCCGAGACCUCAGCGACUCUACGUCGGCUGGGAGGAGGAUCCCCUGACACAACCUCCUCGCAAGGUUGUGGUCGGCCAACGCCGACGCUCCU
Molecule: long non-coding RNA, 237 nt
Filed under: Elaeis guineensis (African oil palm)
Lineage: Eukaryota; Viridiplantae; Streptophyta; Magnoliopsida; Arecales; Arecaceae
Description: long non-coding RNA (EGUI_LNC078307)
Source: RNAcentral